GUCGAACGAUGAACCACUUCGGUGGGGAUUAGUGGCGAACGGGUGAGUAACACGUGGGCAAUCUGCCCUUCACUCUGGGACAAGCCCUGGAAACGGGGUCUAAUACCGGAUAAUACUUCCACUCUCCUGAGUGGUGGUUGAAAGCUCCGGCGGUGAAGGAUGAGCCCGCGGCCUAUCAGCUUGUUGGUGAGGUAAUGGCUCACCAAGGCGACGACGGGUAGCCGGCCUGAGAGGGCGACCGGCCACACUGGGACUGAGACACGGCCCAGACUCCUACGGGAGGCAGCAGUGGGGAAUAUUGCACAAUGGGCGAAAGCCUGAUGCAGCGACGCCGCGUGAGGGAUGACGGCCUUCGGGUUGUAAACCUCUUUCAGCAGGGAAGAAGCGAAAGUGACGGUACCUGCAGAAGAAGCGCCGGCUAACUACGUGCCAGCAGCCGCGGUAAUACGUAGGGCGCAAGCGUUGUCCGGAAUUAUUGGGCGUAAAGAGCUCGUAGGCGGCUUGUCACGUCGGGUGUGAAAGCCCGGGGCUUAACCCCGGGUCUGCAUUCGAUACGGGCAGGCUAGAGUGUGGUAGGGGAGAUCGGAAUUCCUGGUGUAGCGGUGAAAUGCGCAGAUAUCAGGAGGAACACCGGUGGCGAAGGCGGAUCUCUGGGCCAUUACUGACGCUGAGGAGCGAAAGCGUGGGGAGCGAACAGGAUUAGAUACCCUGGUAGUCCACGCCGUAAACGGUGGGAACUAGGUGUUGGCGACAUUCCACGUCGUCGGUGCCGCAGCUAACGCAUUAAGUUCCCCGCCUGGGGAGUACGGCCGCAAGGCUAA
Molecule: ribosomal RNA, 821 nt
Filed under: Streptomyces novaecaesareae
Lineage: Bacteria; Bacillati; Actinomycetota; Actinomycetes; Kitasatosporales; Streptomycetaceae
Description: bacterial SSU rRNA
Rfam family: Bacterial small subunit ribosomal RNA
Source: RNAcentral